RNAcentral lists this ribosomal RNA (408 nucleotides) under uncultured bacterium. Its description in RNAcentral is "partial 16S ribosomal RNA". It matches the Rfam family "Bacterial small subunit ribosomal RNA", at positions 28 to 526 of the family's 1533-position model. The record is from RNAcentral.
GACGCACGCUGGCGGCGUGCUUAACACAUGCAAGUCGAACGGAGUGGCGAACGGGGGAGUAACACGUGGGUGAUCUUCCUUACACUUCGGGAUAAGCUUGGGAAACUGGGUCUAAUACCGGAAAGGGCAAGAUGAGCUCGCGGCCUAUCAGCUUGUUGGUGGGGUGAUGGCCUACCAAGGCGUAGACGGGUAGCCGGCCUGAGAGGGUGUACGGCCACAUUGGGACGGAGAUACGGCCCAGACUCCUACGGGGGGCAGCAGUGGGUAAUAUUGCACAAUGGGCGGAAGCCUGAUGCAGCGACGCCGCGUGGGGGAUGAAGGCCUUCGGGUUGUAAACACCUUUCGACAGGGACGCGGUACCUGUAUAAGAAGCACCGGCUAACUACGUGCCAGCCGCCGCGGUAAUUC